This 253-nucleotide ribosomal RNA is filed under the name uncultured prokaryote. RNAcentral describes it as "partial 16S ribosomal RNA". It matches the Rfam family "Bacterial small subunit ribosomal RNA", at positions 524 to 776 of the family's 1533-position model. The record is from RNAcentral.
UACGUAGGGGGCAAGCGUUAUCCGGAUUUACUGGGUGUAAAGGGAGCGUAGACGGUUAGGUAAGUCUGAUGUGAAAGCCCGCGGCUCAACCGCGGGACUGCAUUGGAAACUAUUUAACUAGAGUGCAGGAGAGGUAAGUGGAAUUCCUAGUGUAGCGGUGAAAUGCGUAGAUAUUAGGAGGAACACCAGUGGCGAAGGCGGCUUACUGGACUGUAACUGACGUUGAGGCUCGAAAGCGUGGGGAGCAAACAGG